This 442-nucleotide ribosomal RNA is filed under the name uncultured bacterium. Its description in RNAcentral is "partial 16S ribosomal RNA". It matches the Rfam family "Bacterial small subunit ribosomal RNA", at positions 338 to 795 of the family's 1533-position model. The record is from RNAcentral.
CCUACGGGAGGCAGCAGUGGGGAAUAUUGGGCAAUGGGCGCAAGCCUGACCCAGCAACGCCGCGUGAAGGAAGAAGGCUUUCGGGUUGUAAACUUCUUUUGUCCGGGAAGAGUAGAAGACGGUAUCUGAAGAAUAAGCCACGGCGAACUACGUGCCAGCAGCCGCGGUAAUACGUAGGUGGCAAGCGUUGUCCGGAUUUAAGGGGUGUAAAGGGCGUGUAGCCGGGUUGACAAGUCAGAUGUGAAAUCCUGCGGCUUAACCGCAGAACUGCAUUUGAAACUGUUGAUCUUGAGUACUGGAGAGGCAGGUGGAAUUCCUGGUGUAGCGGUGAAAUGCGUAGAUAUUAAGAGGAACACCAGUGGCGAAGGCGAUCUGCUGGACAGCAACUGACGGUGAGGCGCGAAAGCGUGGGGAGCAAACAGGAUUAGAUACCCUGGUAGUC